Rhinopithecus roxellana (golden snub-nosed monkey) is the source of this 520-nucleotide non-coding RNA. The record is from the annotation of a RefSeq genome assembly. Lineage: Eukaryota; Metazoa; Chordata; Mammalia; Primates; Cercopithecidae.
GGGAUUCCCAGGUGCUUCUGCUUGCUGAUCAGGACUGCACAGAGAACUCACCAUGGAGUUUGGGCUGAGCUGGGUUUUUCUUGUUGCUAUUUUAAAAGAUGUCCAGUGUGAGCUGCAGCUUGUGGAGUCUGGGGGAGACUUGGUACAGCCUGGGGGAUACAUGAGACUCUCCUGUGCAGCCUCUGGAUUCACCUUCAGUAACUACUGCAUAAGCUGGGUCUGCCAGGCUCCGGAGAAGGGGCUGGAGUGGGUCUCACGUAUUAAUAGAGACGGGAGUAGCACAUACUAUGCAGACUCCAUGAAGGGCCAAGUUACCAUCUCCAGAGAAAAUGCCAAGAACACGCUGUAUCUGCAAAUGAACAAUCUGAGAGCUGAGGACAAGGCUGUGUAUUACUGUAUUAGAAGCACAGUGAGUGUGAACCCAGACACAAACCUUCCAGCAGGGGCAUCCGAGACCAUGAGGGGUGUCCAGAGUCCUGUUAACUGGGUUAUUCUCCGUGGCAGGGGCUGGUGGUGCUAA